This 882-nucleotide ribosomal RNA is filed under the name Bolbitius titubans. Its description in RNAcentral is "eukaryotic LSU rRNA". It matches the Rfam family "Eukaryotic large subunit ribosomal RNA", at positions 69 to 938 of the family's 3401-position model. Lineage: Eukaryota; Fungi; Basidiomycota; Agaricomycetes; Agaricales; Bolbitiaceae. The record is from RNAcentral.
CAAGGAUUCCCCUAGUAACUGCGAGUGAAGCGGGAAAAGCUCAAAUUUAAAAUCUGGCAGUCUUUGAUUGUCCGAGUUGUAAACUAGAGAAGUGUUAUCCGCGCUGGACCGUGUAAAAGUCUCCUGGAAUGGAGCAUCAUAGAGGGUGAGAAUCCCGUCUUUGACAUGGACUACCAGUGCUUUGUGAUGCGCUCUCAAAGAGUCGAGUUGUUUGGGAAUGCAGCUCAAAAUGGGUGGUAAAUUCCAUCUAAAGCUAAAUAUUGGCGAGAGACCGAUAGCGAACAAGUACCGUGAGGGAAAGAUGAAAAGAACUUUGGAAAGAGAGUUAAACAGUACGUGAAAUUGCUGAAAGGGAAACGCUUGAAGUCAGUCGCGUCGGCCAGGAAUCAACCUUGCUUUUGCUGGGCGUACUUUCUGGUUGACGGGUCAGCAUCAAUUUUGACUGCUGGAAAAAGUUCAAGGGAAUGUGGCAUCUUCGGAUGUGUUAUAGCCCUUGUUCGCAUACAGCAGUUGGGAUUGAGGUACUCAGCACGCCGCAAGGCCGGGUUUCGACCACGUUCGUGCUUAGGAUGCUGGCAUAAUGGCUUUAAUCGACCCGUCUUGAAACACGGACCAAGGAGUCUAACAUGCCUGCGAGUGUUUGGGUGGAAAACCCAAGCGCGCAAUGAAAGUAAAAGUUGAGAUCCCUGUCAUGGGGAGCAUCGACGCCCGGACCAGAGCUUUUGUGACGGAUCUGCGGUAGAGCAUGUAUGUUGGGACCCGAAAGAUGGUGAACUAUGCCUGAAUAGGGUGAAGCCAGAGGAAACUCUGGUGGAGGCUCGUAGCGAUUCUGACGUGCAAAUCGAUCGUCAAAUUUGGGUAUAGGGGCGAAAGACUAAUCGA